GCUGGGCGCGGUGGUGCGUGCCUGUAGUCCCAGCUACUCCGGAGGCUUAGGUGGAAGGAUCGCUUGAGCCCAGGAGUUCUGGGCUGUAGUGCACUAUGCCGAUCAGGUGUCCGCACCAAGUUCGGCAUCAAUAUGGUGACCUGCCAGGAGCAGGGGAACACCAGGUUGCCUCAGGAGGGGUGAACGAACCCAGGCUGCAAACGGAGCAAGUCAAAAUUCCCAUGCUCAUCAGUAGUGGGAUUGAGCCUGUGAACAGCCACUGCACUCCAGCCUGGGCAACAUGGUGAAACCUUGUCUUUA
Unclassified non-coding RNA from Callithrix jacchus (white-tufted-ear marmoset), 300 nucleotides. It matches the Rfam family "Metazoan signal recognition particle RNA". From Rfam's summary of the family: The signal recognition particle (SRP) is a universally conserved ribonucleoprotein. NCBI's taxonomy places the organism in Eukaryota, Metazoa, Chordata, Mammalia, Primates, Cebidae. The record is from Ensembl.